UGGGGAAUAUUGGACAAUGGGCGCAAGCCUGAUCCAGCCAUACCGCGUGGGUGAAGAAGGCCUUCGGGUUGUAAAGCCCUUUUGUUGGGAAAGAAAUCCAGCUGGCUAAUACCCGGUUGGGAUGACGGUACCCAAAGAAUAAGCACCGGCUAACUUCGUGCCAGCAGCCGCGGUAAUACGAAGGGUGCAAGCGUUACUCGGAAUUACUGGGCGUAAAGCGUGCGUAGGUGGUCGUUUAAGUCCGUUGUGAAAGCCCUGGGCUCAACCUGGGAACUGCAGUGGAUACUGGGCGACUAGAGUGUGGUAGAGGGUAGCGGAAUUCCUGGUGUAGCAGUGAAAUGCGUAGAGAUCAGGAGGAACAUCCAUGGCGAAGGCAGCUACCUGGACCAACACUGACACUGAGGCACGAAAGCGUGGGGAGCAAACAGGAUUAGAUACCCUGGUAGUCCACGCCCUAAACGAUGCGAACUGGAUGUUGGGUGCAAUUUGGCACGCAGUAUCGAAGCUAACGCGUUAAGUUCGCCGCCUGGGGAGUACGGUCGCAAGACUGAAACUCAAAUGAAUUGACGGGGUCAUAGCGUGUUUUCCU
Molecule: ribosomal RNA, 589 nt
Filed under: uncultured bacterium
Lineage: Bacteria
Description: partial 16S ribosomal RNA
Rfam family: Bacterial small subunit ribosomal RNA
Source: RNAcentral